RNAcentral lists this ribosomal RNA (407 nucleotides) under uncultured bacterium. RNAcentral's name for it is "partial 16S ribosomal RNA". It matches the Rfam family "Bacterial small subunit ribosomal RNA", at positions 29 to 526 of the family's 1533-position model. The record is from RNAcentral.
AUUGAACGCUGGCGGCAGGCCUAACACAUGCAAGUCGAGCGGAGCGGCGGACGGGUGAGUAAUGCUUAGGAAUCUGCCUGGUAGUGGGGGAGAACGUCCGGAAACGGGCGCUAAUCCCACAUACUAUCACGUGGACCUAGGUCGGAUUGGCUAGUUGGUGGGGUAAAGGGCUACCAGGGCGACGAGCCGUAACUGGUCUGGGAGGUGGAUCAGUCACACUGGGACUGAGACACGGUCCAGACGCCUACGGGAGGCAGCAGUGGGGAAGAUUGGACAAUGGGCGAAAGGCUGAUCCAGCCAUGCCGCGUGUGUGAAGAGGGUCUUCGGGUUGUAAAGCACUUUAAUUUGGGAGGCGUUACCAACAGAAUAAGCGCCGGCUAACUCCGUGCCAGCAGCCGCGGUAAUAC